GAUAUUCAGUCGUGUGCGAUUAUCAAGCGUUAUCGGGACCAGCUUACCCGUAAAAUACUGGAGAUAUAGCUAGAUUUGGGGGCGUAUGCGUGAGUAGGCCUUCGGUUGCCCUCUCAGAAAAGUGGCCGCUGGUGGCAGCGGCAUUCCUGGAGGGCACUUUUCCAAGUAUGUUUCUAGUGUAGCCAUUUGAAUUGCCAAUGACUGAAUGCUUGGAAAAUCAUCUACAACAGUCACCAUUUAAACAAAGAGCUGUGCAAGAGACACACGUCAUGCCAGAAUUUUCAAUCACGUGAGAGACGAAGGUUUUAAUCUAGGAACAUGUAUUCUUCUUCUUACACCUAGCCCAAAAGUGUAAGCACUACUAGCCAUUUUGAGAAAAUAAAAUCUAACAAUAAAUGGAAUAAA
Molecule: long non-coding RNA, 405 nt
Organism: Rhipicephalus microplus (southern cattle tick)
Lineage: Eukaryota; Metazoa; Arthropoda; Arachnida; Ixodida; Ixodidae
Source: RefSeq, a predicted model, not a curated record